RNAcentral lists this long non-coding RNA (309 nucleotides) under Theobroma cacao (cacao). Its description in RNAcentral is "long non-coding RNA (TCAC_LNC003593)". Lineage: Eukaryota; Viridiplantae; Streptophyta; Magnoliopsida; Malvales; Malvaceae. The record is from RNAcentral.
GGUGAUUGUGAUGAGAUGGGAGUGAAUAUUCAAUGUCCCUGGAAGCUUUGUAUAAGGACUUGUUAAGCUAAAGGGUAAUCAAGCUCUUUCAAGUUUUGGGAGCAAAGGAAAGCUUUUGAAGAGGUGUGGGGGUGGGGGAAUAAGCUUUGAAUAUUUGAAUGAUUUAAACGUAAAAGCUUCCAUCACCACAAUCAUCAGGAGCAGUUGCUAAGUUACCCUUACAGUCCAUGGUUGCCCUCCUUGAUUUGCGCCUAAGACAGGGCUCUCUUUAUAUCUCUUUCCCAACCCCUCUCUCACUCUCAUUAGCUG